GAUUGGAAUAAGAAGAAAAGGUGCCCAACAUAGGGGUUGGCAGAUGUGGUAUUCUAUUGGACAUCAAGAAGGCUUUAAUAUUUCCAUCCUCAAUAGCUGUAAUAUGAAACUUGGCUUCUCCAAUAUCCACUGCAACAAUCUUGUGGAGAAAAUCUAAAGAUGUCGUGCAGACAAGGAUCCUGGAAGUUUUGAGUUUAAGUUUCUUGGAUGUGCUAUCAUCAGGAGAAAAGAACUCCCCAAAAAAGGCAGAAAACCAAAUAAAAAAUUCAGAGUACCAUGGCGACAAUGGGACACCAUGACAGCUAAUCCACACAAAAUGGUUAAUUAGAGUUUCUUUACCUUACCAUGGGAAGCCUGAAGAAAACCAUUCUCCCAACCAUGUGUCAUUGCCCUCUGUGAAGUGCAGCAUCUCCUCUCUAUUCUCAAAGGUUAGAAGGAUAGAGCUUCCCCCUAGGGGAGUUGUCUUAAUCGAAAAAACGCUUUGUAUUUCAAAAAUAAACUAAAUUGUGAUGGCUAACAUGGGAUUUUUACAAUGUGUUUAGAUUGAGUGCAAC
RNAcentral lists this unclassified non-coding RNA (554 nucleotides) under Hevea brasiliensis (rubber tree). Lineage: Eukaryota; Viridiplantae; Streptophyta; Magnoliopsida; Malpighiales; Euphorbiaceae. The record is from RNAcentral.